GGGCCCGCACAAGCGGUGGAGUAUGUGGUUUAAUUCGAUGCAACGCGAAGAACCUUACCUACUCUUGACAUCCAGAGAACUUAGCAGAGAUGCUUUGGUGCCUUCGGGAACUCUGAGACAGGUGCUGCAUGGCUGUCGUCAGCUCGUGUUGUGAAAUGUUGGGUUAAGUCUCGUAACGAGCGCAACCCUUAUCCUUAUUUGCCAGCACUUCGGGUGGGAACUCUAAGGAGACUGCCGGUGACAAACCGGAGGAAGGUGGGGACGACGUCAAGUCAUCAUGGCCCUUACGAGUAGGGCUACACACGUGCUACAAUGGCGUAUACAGAGGGCAGCGAACUCGCGAGGGUAAGCAAAUCCCAAAAAGUACGUCGUAGUCCGGAUUGGAGUCUGCAACUCGACUCCAUGAAGUCGGAAUCGCUAGUAAUCG
Molecule: ribosomal RNA, 427 nt
Filed under: uncultured bacterium
Lineage: Bacteria
Description: bacterial SSU rRNA
Rfam family: Bacterial small subunit ribosomal RNA
Source: RNAcentral